GCCGACUCUAGUUCCAAUGGAAGAAAUUGCUAAGCUGGAGCGAGGUCAGGUUAUGCAGAGAAUCCUUCAGGUCCGGUUCCACCAUCAUCUGUUGCCCCUUAAGCUGCUUUUAUGGUGCAAUGGCAAGAAGUAUCCUGUGAAGUUGAGACCUGAUAUUGGGUAUUUUGUAAAACCUCUUCCUAUGGAAAUCAAUAUGUUCUCAAUCAAGGAAUCUCAGCUGCCUGGAAUGUUUGAAUAUAUAAGGAGGUGUACUUUCAUUGACCAUAUUGAAGAACUUAACAAGCUUGAAAGCCCCUUAGCAAAGGACAACUUCCUUGUAAUCUGUGAAACUUUGGCUUUGAAGGUGCUUAGUAAUUCCAAUCUUUUUCUUCUAUCCGUGGACAUGCCUGUUGGUACCAACCUCGAUGAUGCAUCAGGUGUAAGGCUUAGGUUCAGUGGUGAGAUAUUAAGCAACUCAAUCCCAUGUUUAAUUACUAUUACUCUUGAAGGUAGAUGCUCCGAACCGCUGGACACUAAAGUAAAAGUCAACUGCGAAGAGACUGUUUUUGGCCUGAACUUUUUGAACAGGGUUGUGAAUUAUUUGACUGAGCCUGCUCGAUUGUGAUGAAAAUCUAGUUUACUCUGAAAUGAAG
RNAcentral lists this unclassified non-coding RNA (632 nucleotides) under Hevea brasiliensis (rubber tree). The record is from RNAcentral. Lineage: Eukaryota; Viridiplantae; Streptophyta; Magnoliopsida; Malpighiales; Euphorbiaceae.